RNAcentral lists this unclassified non-coding RNA (414 nucleotides) under Hevea brasiliensis (rubber tree). The record is from RNAcentral. Lineage: Eukaryota; Viridiplantae; Streptophyta; Magnoliopsida; Malpighiales; Euphorbiaceae.
GAUUUCUGAAGGUAAUUAAAAUCUCUACGUGUUGUUAUGUGAUGUGAGGAUAUGCAUGAACUGUUUUUGUAGUCUUGCUUAAAGAUUUCAAUUUUGUAAUCCUAAUUUUGGAUUCAGGUAUGAUUGCAACUCCGAUUUCCCUAAUUUUAUUAUCAAAACUGUGUUUCUUGAGUUUCACGUUUUAAUCUUUCUCAUAUUAGAAAGAGAAUCUAGUACUUGAAGCAGAGUUUUUUCUCCAACGGAACUUUCCAUUAUUUGGAGCUUUGAAAUUCUUCUUAUUGAUCAAUUUUCUUGCUUUAUAAAAGAAAAAAAAAAUGAAAGACCCUUCUUACUGCUUUGUUGUUUAUUUUGUGUUGGUAUAUCAUUAUUCUCAAAAUGAGUAUAUAGCUUCAUUUUCAAGUCGAUAAUAUUUAG